GCCUGGCUGGCUCAGUUGGUAGAGCACAUGAUUCCUGAUCUUGGGUUUGUGGGUUCCAGCCCCAUGCUGGCUG
Molecule: transfer RNA, 73 nt
Filed under: Canis lupus familiaris (dog)
Lineage: Eukaryota; Metazoa; Chordata; Mammalia; Carnivora; Canidae
Also listed under: 1 other name
Rfam family: tRNA
About the family: Transfer RNA (tRNA) molecules are approximately 80 nucleotides in length. Their secondary structure includes four short double-helical elements and three loops (D, anti-codon, and T loops). Further hydrogen bonds mediate the characteristic L-shaped molecular structure. tRNAs have two regions of fundamental functional importance: the anti-codon, which is responsible for specific mRNA codon recognition, and the 3' end, to which the tRNAs corresponding amino acid is attached (by aminoacyl-tRNA synthetases). tRNAs cope with the degeneracy of the genetic code in two manners: having more than one tRNA (with a specific anti-codon) for a particular amino acid; and 'wobble' base-pairing, i.e. permitting non-standard base-pairing at the 3rd anti-codon position.
Source: Rfam by way of RNAcentral